This 300-nucleotide unclassified non-coding RNA is filed under the name uncultured Pleosporales. RNAcentral describes it as "sequence contains ITS1". The stretch from base 1 to 105 matches the Rfam family "5.8S ribosomal RNA", at positions 50 to 154 of the family's 154-position model. Lineage: Eukaryota; Fungi; Ascomycota; Dothideomycetes; Pleosporales. The record is from RNAcentral.
GAAAUGCGAUAAGUAGUGUGAAUUGCAGAAUUCAGUGAAUCAUCGAAUCUUUGAACGCACAUUGCGCCCUUUGGUAUUCCAUAGGGCAUGCCUGUUCGAGCGUCGUUUCAAACCUUCAAGCCUAGCUUGGUGUUGGGUGACUGUCCUGCGGAACUCCCGCGGACUCGCCUUAAAUCUAUUGGCAGCAGACAUUGUAGCUAAUUGCGCAGCACAUCGCGCCUUAAGCUCGGUGCCGGCUAUCCACGAGCCUUGUCUCACCAGUUUGACCUCGGAUCAGGUAGGGAUACCCGCUGAACUUAA